UACAGAGGGGGCAAGCGUUGUUCGGAAUUACUGGGCGUAAAGGGCGCGUAGGCGGCCUGUUAAGUCGAACGUGAAAUCCCUGGGCUCAACCCAGGAACUGCGUCCGAUACUGGCAGGCUUGAAUCCGGGAGAGGGAUGCGGAAUUCCAGGUGUAGCGGUGAAAUGCGUAGAUAUCUGGAGGAACACCGGUGGCGAAGGCGGGUCUCUGGGCCGAAAUUGACGCUGAGGAGCGAAAGCGUGGGGAGCAAACAGG
Molecule: ribosomal RNA, 253 nt
Filed under: uncultured bacterium
Lineage: Bacteria
Description: partial 16S ribosomal RNA
Rfam family: Bacterial small subunit ribosomal RNA
Source: RNAcentral